Molecule: ribosomal RNA, 445 nt
Filed under: uncultured bacterium
Lineage: Bacteria
Description: partial 16S ribosomal RNA
Rfam family: Bacterial small subunit ribosomal RNA
Source: RNAcentral
GUGAGGAAUAUUGGUCAAUGGGCGGGAGCCUGAACCAGCCAAGUCGCGUGAAGGAAGAAGGAUCUAUGGUUCGUAAACUUCUUUUGCAGGGGAAUAAAGUGCAGGACGUGUCCUGUUUUGUAUGUACCCUGAGAAUAAGGAUCGGCUAACUUCGUGCCAGCAGCCGCGGUAAUACGGAGGAUCCGAGCGUUAUCCGGAUUUAUUGGGUUUAAAGGGUGCGUAGGUGGUUUGAUAAGUCAGCGGUGAAAGUUUGCAGCUUAACUGUAAAAAUGCCGUUGAAACUGGCGAACUUGAGAGUAAAUGACGUAGGCGGAAUGCGUAGUGUAGCGGUGAAAUGCAUAGAUAUCACGCAGAACUCCGAUUGCGAAGGCAGCUUACUAAGCUACAACUGACACUGAAGCACGAAAGCGUGGGGAUCAAACAGGAUUAGAAACCCUGGUAGUCC